AAGUCGCAACAAGGUAACCGUAGGUGAACCUGCGGUUGGAUCAUUAGUGGUUUUUACGCAGCGCUGUUGUAGUGUAUGGUGGUAUGUUGGGUUUUGGUGUGGUGUGUGUUGUGUUGUUGGUUGUGCUGUGUUGCCUGGCCUUGGUCUUGGCACAGCAACGGACGACGAACACUCGGACCAGACCCAACAGACCUCGCCAGAUAGACGUCUUUGCUUGCUUUGAUGAAACCAAAUCAAAAACAACUUUUGACAACGGAUCUCUUGGCUCUC
RNAcentral lists this unclassified non-coding RNA (270 nucleotides) under fungal sp. RNAcentral's name for it is "partial internal transcribed spacer region". The stretch from base 1 to 46 matches the Rfam family "Eukaryotic small subunit ribosomal RNA", at positions 1786 to 1831 of the family's 1831-position model. The record is from RNAcentral. Lineage: Eukaryota; Fungi.